AGAGUUUGAUNNUGGCUCAGACGAACCUGGCGGCGUGCCUAAUACAUGCAAGUCGAACGCUUCUUUUUCCACCGGAGCUUGCUCCACCGGAAAAAGAGGAGUGGCGAACGGGUGAGUAACACGUGGGUAACCUGCCCAUCAGAAAGGGAUAACACUUGGAAACAGGUGCUAAUACCGUAUAACAAUCGAAACCGCAUGGUUUUGAUUUGAAAGGCGCUUUCGGGUGUCGCUGAUGGAUGGACCCGCGGUGCAUUAGCUAGUUGGUGAGGUAACAGCUCACCAAGGCGACGAUGCAUAGCCGACCUGAGAGGGUGAUCGGCCACAUUGGGACUGAGACACGGCCCAAACUCUACGGGAGGCAGCAGUAGGGAAUCUUCGGCAAUGGACGAAAGUCUGACCGAGCAACGCCGCGUGAGUGAAGAAGGUUUUCGGAUCGUAAAACUCUGUUGUUAGAGAAGAACAAGGAUGAGAGUAACUGUUCAUCCCUUGACGGUAUCUAACCAGAAAGCCACGGCUAACUACGUGCCAGCAGCCGCGGUAAUACGUAGGUGGCAAGCGUUGUCCGGAUUUAUUGGGCGUAAAGCGAGCGCAGGCGGUUCUUAAGUCUGAUGUGAAAGCCCCCGGCUCAACCGGGGAGGGUCAUUGGAAACUGGGAGACUUGAGUGCAGAAGAGGAGAGUGGAAUUCCAUGUGUAGCGGUGAAAUGCGUAGAUAUAUGGAGGAACACCAGUGGCGAAGGCGGCUCUCUGGUCUGUAACUGACGCUGAGGCUCGAAAGCGUGGGGAGCAAACAGGAUUAGAUACCCUGGUAGUCCACGCCGUAAACGAUGAGUGCUAAGUGUUGGAGGGUUUCCGCCCUUCAGUGCUGCAGCUAACGCAUUAAGCACUCCGCCUGGGGAGUACGACCGCAAGGUUGAAACUCAAAGGAAUUGACGGGGGCCCGCACAAGCGGUGGAGCAUGUGGUUUAAUUCGAAGCAACACGAAGAACCUUACCAGGUCUUGACAUCCUUUGACCACUCUAGAGAUAGAGCUUCCCCUUCGGGGGCAAAGUGACAGGUGGUGCAUGGUUGUCGUCAGCUCGUGUCGUGAGAUGUUGGGUUAAGUCCCGCAACGAGCGCAACCCUUAUUGUUAGUUGCCAUCAUUUAGUUGGGCACUCUAGCAAGACUGCCGGUGACAAACCGGAGGAAGGUGGGGAUGACGUCAAAUCAUCAUGCCCCUUAUGACCUGGGCUACACACGUGCUACAAUGGGAAGUACAACGAGUCGCAAAGUCGCGAGGCUAAGCUAAUCUCUUAAAGCUUCUCUCAGUUCGGAUUGUAGGCUGCAACUCGCCUACAUGAGCCGGAAUCGCUAGUAAUCGCGGAUCAGCACGCCGCGGUGAAUACGUUCCCGGGCCUUGUACACACCGCCCGUCACACCACGAGAGUUUGUACACCCGAAGUCGGUGAGGUAACCUUUUGGAGCCAGCCGCCUAAGGUGGGAUAGAUGAUUGGGGUGAAGUCGUAACAAGGUAGCCGUAUCGGAAGGUGCGGCUGGAUCACCUCCUUUCU
This 1549-nucleotide ribosomal RNA is filed under the name Enterococcus pseudoavium. Its description in RNAcentral is "16S ribosomal RNA". It matches the Rfam family "Bacterial small subunit ribosomal RNA". Lineage: Bacteria; Bacillati; Bacillota; Bacilli; Lactobacillales; Enterococcaceae. The record is from RNAcentral.